This is a non-coding RNA of Podarcis lilfordi (Lilford's wall lizard), 75 nucleotides long. The record is from the annotation of a GenBank genome assembly. NCBI's taxonomy places the organism in Eukaryota, Metazoa, Chordata, Lepidosauria, Squamata, Lacertidae.
GCCUGCAGGUGGCUCAGUUGGUUAGAGCGUGGUGCUGAUAAAGCCAAGGUCAUGGGUUUGAUCCCCGUAGGGGCA